CUAAGCACACUGUUGGUUAUGUGUGCCCAAGCAUUGAGGCAGUCAAAGUAGGCAAAUCCGCUUUGAUAAUGCUGGGAUGUGAUGGGGAGCGAAAUUUAGUAGCGAAGUAGCUGAUUUCACACUGUCAAGAAAAGUCUCUAUCGAGGUUAAAGGUACCCGUACCGCAAACCGACACAGGUGGGUGAGGAGAGUAUCCUAAGGCCAGCGAGAGAACUGUUGUUAAGGAACUCGGCAAAAUGACCCCGUAACUUAGGGAUAAGGGGUGCCACCAUCAGGUGGCCGCAGAGAAUAGGCCCAAGCGACUGUUUACCAAAAACAUAGGUUUCUGCUAAGUCGCAAGACGAUGUAUAGGAGCUGACGCCUGCCCGGUGCUGGAAGGUUAAGGGGAUCUGUUAGAGUAAUCGAAGCAGUGAACUUAAGCCCCAGUAAACGGCGGCCGUAACUAUAACGGUCCUAAGGUAGCGAAAUUCCUUGUCGGGUAAGUUCCGACCCGCACGAAAGGCGUAACGAUUUGGGCACUGUCUCAACAACAGACUCGGUGAAAUUGUAAUUCCGGUGAAGAUGCCGGAUACCUGCGACAGGACGGAAAGACCCCAUGGAGCUUUACUGUAGCUUGACAUUGGGUCUUGGUACUACAUGUACAGGAUAGGUGGGAGGCUUUGAAACCAGGACGCCAGUUUUGGCGGAGCCAUCCUUGGGAUACCACCCUUGUAGUACUGGGACUCUAACCAUAGGCCAUGAAUCUGGUCUUGGGACACUGUCAGGUGGGCAGUUUGACUGGGGCGGUCGCCUCCCAAAAGGUAACGGAGGCGCUCAAAGGUUCUCUCAGUACGGUCGGAAAUCGUACGUAGAGUGUAAAGGCAAAAGAGAGCUUGAUUGCAAGACAUACAGGUCGAGCAAGGAUGAAAAUCGGACUUAGUGAUCCGGUGGUUCUGCGUGGAAGGGCCAUCGCUCAACGGAUAAAAGCUACCCUGGGGAUAACAGGCUUAUCUCCCCCAAGAGUCCACAUCGACGGGGAGGUUUGGCACCUCGAUGUCGGCUCAUCACAUCCUGGGGCUGUAGUAGGUCCCAAGGGUUGGGCUGUUCGCCCAUUAAAGUGGUACGCGAGCUGGGUUCAGAACGUCGUGAGACAGUUCGGUCCCUAUCCGUCGCAGGCGUAGGAAAUUUGAGAAGACCUGUCCUUAGUACGAGAGGACCGGGAUGGACG
This 1207-nucleotide ribosomal RNA is filed under the name Clostridioides difficile. RNAcentral's name for it is "partial 23S ribosomal RNA". It matches the Rfam family "Bacterial large subunit ribosomal RNA", at positions 1487 to 2703 of the family's 2925-position model. Lineage: Bacteria; Bacillati; Bacillota; Clostridia; Peptostreptococcales; Peptostreptococcaceae. The record is from RNAcentral.